Molecule: ribosomal RNA, 591 nt
Filed under: uncultured bacterium
Lineage: Bacteria
Description: bacterial SSU rRNA
Rfam family: Bacterial small subunit ribosomal RNA
Source: RNAcentral
UGUACCUUAUACAAAGGAAUAACUCAGAGAAAUCUGUGCUAAAACCUUAUAAGCUUACACUAGCAGAUGGUAGAGUAAGAAAAACUUUAGUGGUAUAAGAUGAGCCUGCGUCCGAUUAGUUAGUUGGUGGGAUAACAGCUCACCAAGGCGACGAUCGGUAACCGGCCUGAGAGGGUGACCGGUCACACUGGGACUGAGACACGGUCCAGACUCCUACGGGAGGCAGCAGUGGGGAAUAUUGCACAAUGGAGGGAACUCUGAUGCAGCAACGCCGCGUGAAGGAUGAAGGUUUUCGGAUCGUAAACUUCUAUCAGUAGGGAUGAAAACAAUGACAGUACCCAACUAAGAAGCCCCGGCUAACUACGUGCCAGCAGCCGCGGUAAUACGUAGGGGGCAAGCGUUAUCCGGAUUUACUGGGUGUAAAGGGUGCGUAGGUGGCAUGGUAAGUUAGGUGUGAAAGCCCAAGGCUUAACUUUGGGAUUGCAUCUAAAACUACUAAGCUAGAGUGCAGGAGAGGAAAGUAGAAUUCCUAGUGUAGCGGUGAAAUGCGUAGAUAUUAGGAGGAAUACCAGUAGCGAAGGCGGCUUUCUG